UGUCCGAAAUUUUUUUUUUUUUUUUUUUUAUACUAAGAGCUUAAAGCGUAGAAAAUAAGCAUUUUUUUUUUUAAAAGACUUGUUGAUUGGUAUCUUUAAGAGGGGCUUGCGCCAUAUUAGUUAGUUGGUAGGGUAAUGGCCUACCAAGACGAUGAUGUGUAGCUGGACUGAGAGGUUGAACAGCCACAUUGGGACUGAGACACGGCCCAAACUCCUACGGGAGGCAGCAGUAGGGAAUUUUCGGCAAUGGAGGAAACUCUGACCGAGCAACGCCGCGUGAACGACGAAGUACUUUGGUAUGUAAAGUUCUUUUAUCAAGGAAGAAAAGCAAGUGGUGAACCAUUUGUUUGCCGGUACUUGAUGAAUAAGCCCCGGCUAAUUAUGUGCCAGCAGCCGCGGUAAGACAUAAGGGGCAAGUGUUAUCCGGAAUUAUUGGGCGUAAAGGGUGCGUAGGCGGUCUAGUAAGUCAGUGGUGUAAUGGCAACGCUCAACGUUGUCCGGCUAUUGAAACUGCUAAACUUGAGUUAGAUAGAGGCGAGUGGAAUUCCAUGUGUAGCGGUAAAAUGCGUAAAUAUAUGGAGGAACACCAGAGGCGUAGGCGGCUCGCUGGGUCUUAACUGACGCUGAGGCACGAAAGCGUGGGGAGCAAACAGGAUUAGAUACCCUGGUAGUCCACGCCGUAAACGAUGAGUACUAAGUGUCGGGUUAAACCGGUACUGAAGUUAACACAUUAAGUACUCCGCCUGAGUAGUACGUACGCAAGUAUGAAACUUAAAGGAAUUGACGGGACUCCGCACAAGCGGUGGAUCAUGUUGUUUAAUUCGAAGAUACCCGAAAAACCUUACCAGGUCUUGACAUGUUUUUGCGAAACGGUAGUAAUAUCGUGGAGGUUAUCAGAAACACAGGUGGUGCAUGGUUGUCGUCAGCUCGUGUCGUGAGAUGUUAGGUUAAGUCCUAAAACGAGCGAAACCCUUAUCGUUAGUUGCCAGCACGUUAUGGUGGGGACUUUAACGAGACUGCCAGUGAUAAAUUGGAGGAAGGUGAGGAUCACGUCAAAUCAGCAUGCCCCUUAUGACCUGGGCUACAAACGUGAUACAAUGGCUGUUACAAAGGGUAGCUGAAACGCAAGUUCUUGGCCAAUCCCCAAAAACAGUCUCAGUCCGGAUUGAAGUCUGCAACUCGACUUCAUGAAGUGGAAUCGCUAGUAAUCGCGAAUCUGCAUUCGCGUAAUAAUUGACUUU
This 1241-nucleotide ribosomal RNA is filed under the name Candidatus Phytoplasma citri. RNAcentral describes it as "bacterial SSU rRNA". It matches the Rfam family "Bacterial small subunit ribosomal RNA", at positions 147 to 1373 of the family's 1533-position model. Lineage: Bacteria; Bacillati; Mycoplasmatota; Mollicutes; Acholeplasmatales; Acholeplasmataceae. The record is from RNAcentral.